UUUCACCUACGGGGCGCAGCAGUGGGGAAUAUUGCACAAUGGGGGAAACCCUGAUGCAGCGACGCCGCGUGAGUGAAGAAGUAUUUCGGUAUGUAAAGCUCUGUCGGCAGGGAAGAAAGCAAUGACGGUACCUGACCAAGAAGCCCCGGCUAACUACGUGCCAGCAGCCGCGGUAAUACGUAGGGGGCAAGCGUUAUCCGGAAUUACUGGGUGUAAAGGGAGCGUAGACGGCUGUGCAAGUCUGGAGUGAAAGGCGGGGGCCCAACCCCCGGACUGCUCUGGAAACUGUAUGUCUGGAGUGCAGG
RNAcentral lists this ribosomal RNA (305 nucleotides) under uncultured bacterium. RNAcentral describes it as "bacterial SSU rRNA". It matches the Rfam family "Bacterial small subunit ribosomal RNA", at positions 333 to 652 of the family's 1533-position model. The record is from RNAcentral.